Molecule: ribosomal RNA, 504 nt
Filed under: uncultured bacterium
Lineage: Bacteria
Description: partial 16S ribosomal RNA
Rfam family: Bacterial small subunit ribosomal RNA
Source: RNAcentral
AUUGAACGCUGGCGGCAGGCCUAACACAUGCAAGUCGAGCGGUAGCACAGGGAGCUUGCUCCUGGGUGACGAGCGGCGGACGGGUGAGUAAUGUCUGGGAAACUGCCUGAUGGAGGGGGAUAACUACUGGAAACGGUAGCUAAUACCGCAUAACGUCGCAAGACCAAAGAGGGGGACCUUCAGGCCUCUUGCCAUCAGAUGUGCCCAGAUGGGAUUAGCUAGUAGGUGGGGUAACGGCUCACCUAGGCGACGAUCCCUAGCUGGUCUGAGAGGAUGACCAGCCACACUGGAACUGAGACACGGUCCAGACUCCUACGGGAGGCAGCAGUGGGGAAUAUUGCACAAUGGGCGCAAGCCUGAUGCAGCCAUGCCGCGUGUAUGAAGAAGGCCUUCGGGUUGUAAAGUACUUUCAGCGGGGAGGAAGGCGAUAAGGUUAAUAACCUUGUCGAUUGACGUUACCCGCAGAAGAAGCACCGGCUAACUCCGUGUCAGCCGCCGCGGUAA